RNAcentral lists this ribosomal RNA (620 nucleotides) under Duganella sp. So2Pw_1352. RNAcentral describes it as "bacterial SSU rRNA". It matches the Rfam family "Bacterial small subunit ribosomal RNA", at positions 394 to 1007 of the family's 1533-position model. The record is from RNAcentral. Lineage: Bacteria; Pseudomonadati; Pseudomonadota; Betaproteobacteria; Burkholderiales; Oxalobacteraceae.
AUGCCGCGUGAGGGAAGAAGGCCUUCGGGUUGUAAAGCUCUUUUGUCAGGGAAGAAAAGGCUGUGGCUAAUAUCCACAACUGCUGACGGUACCUGAAGAAUAAGCACCGGCUAACUACGUGCCAGCAGCCGCGGUAAUACGUAGGGUGCAAGCGUUAAUCGGAAUUACUGGGCGUAAAGCGUGCGCAGGCGGUUUCGUAAGUCUGUCGUGAAAUCCCCGGGCUUAACCUGGGAAUGGCGAUGGAGACUGCGAGGCUGGAGUUUGGCAGAGGGGGGUAGAAUUCCACGUGUAGCAGUGAAAUGCGUAGAGAUGUGGAGGAACACCGAUGGCGAAGGCAGCCCCCUGGGUCAAAACUGACGCUCAUGCACGAAAGCGUGGGGAGCAAACAGGAUUAGAUACCCUGGUAGUCCACGCCCUAAACGAUGUCUACUAGUUGUUGGGUCUUAAUUGACUUAGUAACGCAGCUAACGCGUGAAGUAGACCGCCUGGGGAGUACGGUCGCAAGAUUAAAACUCAAAGGAAUUGACGGGGACCCGCACAAGCGGUGGAUGAUGUGGAUUAAUUCGAUGCAACGCGAAAAACCUUACCUACCCUUGACAUGGAAGGAAUCCCGGAGAGAU